Molecule: long non-coding RNA, 1063 nt
Filed under: Homo sapiens (human)
Lineage: Eukaryota; Metazoa; Chordata; Mammalia; Primates; Hominidae
Description: HSALNT0359924
Source: RNAcentral
CCUCUAACACUUCUUCUAACACCCCAGGUUAAUGGGGUUCUGAGGAACCUGUGCUGGAGGACCUGAGUUCCAACAGCUAUUUUUUUGAUAUUUGGUGUCUAUGAUCUCAUUGAAAGCCUCUGUUUGAUUUCAGAUUGUUACGUGUAAAGGGGGAGAUGGAGCAGGGUGAGAAAUGUCUGACUGGACCACCAACAGAUAAAAGCACACAUAUGGGAAGAGGAAGUCCAGAUUUCAUGGCAUGUCAUAAGAAUGAAAAAGGACUUUAUUUGUGUGUGAUGUGUGCUUCCCACAAGACCUGUUACCAGGAGUAAGCUCUUAAUAAAUGGAUUGGAUAAAAGGUGAUAUCUGCUUCGCAAUUUCUUCCAGCCCUACCCCUUGCGUGGUGGUGAGAAAACUAACAGUUUGUAUGUGAACAUCUACUAGGAUUGGAAAAAUGUAAUGGAGUCGAGAAGCAGGAGGCACAGAGAACAAACUGUGAUCAGUUCAGUCCAGAUCAGUAAAUGGGCAACAGUUUAAAAUUGUUGGGUUCAGAGGAAGAUCAUUUCAAAUGGAACCAGAAAUAACUUGAAGUUCAGGAAAGAAACAGGACAUAAAAUGAUCUGAAAUCUGUGCCCAUUUGAAGAGGAAUAUGGACAACUCAAGAGUUCAGUAACUAAAACCAGGAUAGUACUGUGAUUUGGUAACUACACUUCUUAAACACACUGCAGAUAGGUUUGUUUAGAUUACAGGUUGGUGGGAAAUUGAGUAGCAUCUGUGGAUUAGUGGAAGCCCCUUUUUGGGAUGAAGCCAGCAAUAUCAAUAUUUGUGCAUGACAAACUAAUGUCCUCAGAUAUUUCUCCUUCCACACUGUAAAAUAUUUAAUAGAAAAGGUAGCUUUGGGGUCUCACUACUCCUCACUGGCAGACAUGCAUGCACAUUUGAUCUCUGCCCUAUAGCCCCUUUUCCUGUGCUUCUGUUUCUCCCCGUGGGGGGAAUGGCUCUCCCUGAGGUGCAUUCUGGGGAUGCAGGUCAAUCCAGUUGGCCGUUAUUGUCCAAAGGAAGUUGAAAGAGGCCACUACCAGGA